CUAAAAAAGUAUAUAAUUAUUUAUUGAAACUUAAAUAAUUUGGCGGUAUUUUAGUUCAUUUAGAGGAAUCUGUUUAAUAAUUGAUAAUCCACGAAUAAAUUUACUUAAUUUUUUAUUUUGUAUAUCGUUGUUAUAAAAAUAUUUUUUAAUAAUAAUAAUAUUUUAAAAUUUUAAUUAAAAAUUAAAUCAGAUCAAGAUGCAGAUUAUAAUUAAGAAUAUAAUGGAUUACAAUAAAUUUAUUUAAAUGAAUAUUAAUUUGUAAAAUUUAAUUGAAGGUGGAUUUAAAUGUAA
Molecule: ribosomal RNA, 291 nt
Filed under: Spodoptera ochrea
Lineage: Eukaryota; Metazoa; Arthropoda; Insecta; Lepidoptera; Noctuidae
Description: partial 12S ribosomal RNA
Source: RNAcentral